CUCGCAGUUCUGCAGAGUUCCUCUCUUUCCGUUCGUUUCCUGAACCAGCAGCCCGUCUACGUGGUCAGCGGCCAGAUCCUGAUCCUGCAGGUCCAGAUAGACCUGGACUCUCCAGACGACUCCAUCACUAAAGUGAUAUGGGAGCAUCAGGCCAAGAGGAAUUCUGGGAAGACUGUAGUGGCUGAAUAUCCCACUAAGAGCUCUGGUGGUCGGGUGGCUGUAGAAAAAGGCGUAGCCGUGAUGAAGCUGAGCAACUACCAGAGAACAGACAGCGGGGAGUACACCGUAACCGCCUCCGACAGACGGGGGAACCAGAAAUCAGCAACCUGCACCGUCCACGAGUACGAGGCUGUUCAUCAUGUGUCGGUGAUGGUGAACGUGUCUCACGCCGUGCUGCACUGCCGCGAGGCGUGGGGAACCGAUCCCACGUUCAGCUGGUUCCAUGAACAGGCCGCCGUGACCCAGGCUGUGGGUAAAGUGCUGGACAGUGGGAGCACUCUUCAUCUCUCUAUCCCACUCUGUGGACACUUCACCUGUGUGGUGUCCAACAAGCUGGGCCACAGCUCCGCCACCUACACUGCAGGAAAAUAUAUAUAUGUAUAUAUUUAUAUAUAACACACAUUGUGAAGUGCAAAGGCAGGAAAACCGUGGGUCCCCAGUCUGGGGGGAAGGUGCAGCGCCGGUCUGUCCCAGCUGGCCCACGUUGGACCGGCAUAAAGUCCCUACCUCAGCCUUCACUCAUGCGAUAGGUUGAUGUUAAGAGAAAGGCUUAGACAACACGAACCUAA
RNAcentral lists this long non-coding RNA (788 nucleotides) under Astyanax mexicanus (Mexican tetra). RNAcentral describes it as "lncRNA (ENSAMXG00005000346.1)". The record is from RNAcentral. Lineage: Eukaryota; Metazoa; Chordata; Actinopteri; Characiformes; Acestrorhamphidae.